RNAcentral lists this ribosomal RNA (321 nucleotides) under uncultured Pseudomonadota bacterium. Its description in RNAcentral is "bacterial SSU rRNA". It matches the Rfam family "Bacterial small subunit ribosomal RNA", at positions 30 to 351 of the family's 1533-position model. Lineage: Bacteria; Pseudomonadati; Pseudomonadota. The record is from RNAcentral.
AUUGAACGCUGGCGGCAUGCCUUACACAUGCAAGUCGAACGGCAGCACGGGAGCAAUCCUGGUGGCGAGUGGCGAACGGGUGAGUAAUACAUCGGAACGUGCCCUGUAGUGGGGGAUAACUAGUCGAAAGACUAGCUAAUACCGCAUACGACCUGAGGGUGAAAGUGGGGGACCGCAAGGCCUCAUGCUAUAGGAGCGGCCGAUGUCUGAUUAGCUAGUUGGUGGGGUAAAGGCCUACCAAGGCGACGAUCAGUAGCUGGUCUGAGAGGACGAUCAGCCACACUGGGACUGAGACACGGCCCAGACUCCUACGGGUGGCAG